This 484-nucleotide ribosomal RNA is filed under the name uncultured bacterium. Its description in RNAcentral is "partial 16S ribosomal RNA". It matches the Rfam family "Bacterial small subunit ribosomal RNA", at positions 28 to 507 of the family's 1533-position model. The record is from RNAcentral.
AUUGAACGCUGGCGGCAUGCUUUACACAUGCAAGUCGAACGGCAGCGCGGGCUUCGGCCUGGCGGCGAGUGGCGCACGGGUGAGUAAUGCAUCGGAACGUGCCCAGUAGUGGGGGAUAGCCCGGCGAAAGCCGGAUUAAUACCGCCUACAACCUGAGAGUUAAAGCUGGGGACCGGAAGGCCUCGCGCUAUUUGGGCGCACGAUGUCGGAUUAGCUAGUUGGUGGGGGGACGGCUCACCCAGGCGACGAUCCGUAGCUGGUCUGAGAGGACGACCGCCCCCACUGGCACUGAGACACGGCACAGACUCCUACGGGAGGCAGCAGUGGGGAAUUGUGGACAAUGGGCGCAACUCGGAUCCAGCCAUGCCGCGCGAGGGAAGAAGGCUUUCGGGUUGUAAAUCGCUUUUGUGCGGGAAGAAGUCCUCUGUGCUAAUACCUUGGGGGGAUGACGGUACUGUAAGAAGAAGCACCGGCUAACUACGUG